RNAcentral lists this ribosomal RNA (387 nucleotides) under Lacunicambarus ludovicianus. RNAcentral describes it as "partial small subunit ribosomal RNA". Lineage: Eukaryota; Metazoa; Arthropoda; Malacostraca; Decapoda; Cambaridae. The record is from RNAcentral.
AGAUACCCUAGUACACUUAAAUUUAAUUAAUAACAUUAGAAUAUUAGAAGUUAUGUUCUUUAAAUUUAAAAAAUUUGGCGGUGUUUUAGUCUAGUUAGAGGAACCUGUUUUAUAAACGAUAUGGCACGUAUUAUUUUACUUAUUUUGGUAGGUCAGCUUGUAUACCGUCAUUAUAAGAUAAUUUAAGAGAGAAUAUUAUUGAAAUCAUAUUAUUGAGUAUAUUAGAUCAAGGUGCAGCUUAUAGAUAAGUAAAUAUGGGUUACAAUAAAAUUUAUUUAAUAUGAAUUAAGUAUUUAAAUAUGUUUAUGAAGGAGGAUUUAAUUGUAAGGAAAGAGUAGAGAGCUUUUCUGAUAAAAGCUCUAAAUUAUGUACAUAUCGCCCGUCGCU